GGUGGUUCUCAGGUGACGUACCCCGGAAUCAGGCUUCCUCCUCUCUGGUUCCAGGUGCAUCACCCAAGAACCACA
Myotis lucifugus (little brown bat) is the source of this 75-nucleotide non-coding RNA. Lineage: Eukaryota; Metazoa; Chordata; Mammalia; Chiroptera; Vespertilionidae. The record is from Rfam.